CGUAGGGUGCAAGCGUUGUCCGGAAUUAUUGGGCGUAAAGAGCUCGUAGGCGGUCUGUCACGUCGGCUGUGAAAACCCGAGGCUCAACCUCGGGCCUGCAGUCGAUACGGGCAAACUAGAGUACUGCAGGGGAGACUGGAAUUCCUGGUGUAGCGGUGAAAUGCGCAGAUAUCAGGAGGAACACCGGUGGCGAAGGCGGGUCUCUGGGCAGUAACUGACGCUGAGGAGCGAAAGCGUGGGGAGCGAACAGGAUUAGAUACCCUGGUAGUCCACGCCGUAAACGUUGGGCGCUAGAUGUGGGGGCCAUUCCACGGUCUCCGUGUCGCAGCUAACGCAUUAAGCGCCCCGCCUGGGGAGUACGGCCGCAAGGCUA
Molecule: ribosomal RNA, 373 nt
Filed under: uncultured organism
Description: bacterial SSU rRNA
Rfam family: Bacterial small subunit ribosomal RNA
Source: RNAcentral